This is a long non-coding RNA of Drosophila obscura, 1073 nucleotides long. RefSeq lists it as uncharacterized. The transcript is spliced from 2 exons. Lineage: Eukaryota; Metazoa; Arthropoda; Insecta; Diptera; Drosophilidae. The record is from RefSeq and is a predicted model, not a curated record.
AGUGUUUGGUACAGAUGGUGUAGGCCUGUAGGAAACACAAAGUUGGAUUUUUUCGGCCUGUAUAGUUCUUGGUCAAUCCACAAUUAUUAUAUUAAAUAAUUGAGCACGUUUUAAGCUUUUCCCAGGCUACGUAUAGUAAAUCAAUUAAAUCUAGUAUUUGCAUCACAUUCACUUUCAACAAAGUGAACAUAGUCAACUGAGCUGGGUUGACCAUUUCCCACACCAUUCAACAGACCGGUUUUCCACCAAGCAGCGUGCAACUAAACCAAAAACUCUUUCAUCUCCCUACUCUUAACUUUUGUUGAGAUUGGGAUUAUACUUCUUUGAAAUGUGUAUCAUUUUUUAUAUCUUUUUUGGAAAAUAUUAUAUUUGUGUGACUUGGUCAACGAAAUUUGUAAAAAUCUGUUUCCUAUCACUUUUUGUUACUCAUAUUAUUGUAUGUGUUUAUAAGCUACAUAUAUAUGCAUAUAUAUAUUUAUAUUUAUAUAUUCGUGAACGUCAUGGGCGAGUGUGCAUUUAUGUACAUGCACACAUGUUUGAAUACUUGUCUAUACAUUCACAUGCAUGCAUUUAGGUCCUGGUGUGUGUGUCUGAGAGGUUUACAGUUAACCACUGUGCAAAAAACCGGUUUGUUAGCGCAAUCUUUUGUUUUGACCAGCGGAUUCACAGAUAUGUUUCCAUUUCGAGUCGUAUUUAAUGAUUUUGUGGCAAGCUUGAAACUUGUGGUGGCGCUGCUGCCACUAUUAAGUUGACUGGCACUUGUACGAGGUAAUCGCGGAUUAAUAUUUCCAUUUCCUGUAAACGGGCGCGCAGCACUACCAGCACUAUUGCUGACGGCAAGUGCUCCCGGUAACAUAUCAAGGUGCAUGAUGAUUCCCAUGCACAGUAGCAUUAAUGUUAGCGCCGACCGGCUAAUGAAUUUACACCGUCUUGUAUAAACCAGAAAGGCUACCAUGACUGCGAACCGUAUCAUCUCUAGACUUUCAUAUAUGUAUAUUGCACACGAUAGAGCCGUUAUUACCUGUAAUAGUUUAUAUCUUUGUAAAUGAAUGUUUGGAUUGUAUAACGACCAA